UGGGGAAUAUUCCGCAAUGGACGAAAGUCUGACGGAGCGACGCCGCGUGAUGGAUGAAGUCCCUCUGGGACGUAAACAUCUUUUAUGAGGGAGAAAGUUUAUUGAUAGUACCUCACGAAUAAGGGGUUGCUAAACUCGUGCCAGCAGCAGCGGUAAUACGAGUGCCCCGAGCGUUAUCCGGAAUCAUUGGGCGUAAAGGGUGUGUAGGUGGCAUUGUUAGUCACACGUUAAACCCUGGGGCUUAACCCCAGAUCUGCGUGUGAUACGGCAAAGCUAGAGGAUGGCAGGGAUGUAUGGAACUCAUGGAGUAGGGGUGAAAUCCGUUGAUAUCAUGGGGAACACCGAAAGCGAAGGCAGUACAUUGGGCCACUCCUGACACUGAAACACGAAAGCGUGGGUAGCGAAUGGGAUUAGAUACCCUCGUAGUCCCUGAGCGGGCUGGCAAGGCGCAU
This 452-nucleotide ribosomal RNA is filed under the name uncultured bacterium. Its description in RNAcentral is "bacterial SSU rRNA". It matches the Rfam family "Bacterial small subunit ribosomal RNA", at positions 355 to 825 of the family's 1533-position model. The record is from RNAcentral.